RNAcentral lists this unclassified non-coding RNA (2080 nucleotides) under Cimex lectularius (bed bug). Its description in RNAcentral is "circadian locomoter output cycles protein kaput, transcript variant X1". The record is from RNAcentral. Lineage: Eukaryota; Metazoa; Arthropoda; Insecta; Hemiptera; Cimicidae.
UACCGUCUAGCAGUUAUCAAUCAGGAGGUAUUCUUGUUUGUAAUUUCAGUUUGUACCUUGUGUUGAUUUUUGGCAGUUGUUUAUUUGGAAAAUCGUCUAAAAAGUGAAAAUCAUCUUCGUCGAGACGUGAAGUUAAUUGUUGUUUUCUUGUUCGUCAUUCCUUGGUUCUAAUAUGUGAGGUGAAAGGUGGUGAAACAUGUCAAACUUUAUUAGCCCAAGCUCUACAAGACAAUCCGAUGAUACUAUGGAUGAUGAUGCCGACAACAAAGAUGACACUAAAAGAAAAACAAGAAAUUUAAGCGAGAAGAAAAGGCGGGAUCAAUUUAAUAUACUGAUAAAUGAACUUAGCUCCUUGGUUUCAACGAAUAGUCGGAAGAUGGACAAAUCCACUGUUCUAAAGUCGACAAUAUCGUUUUUGAAAAAUCACAACGAUAUUGCUGUACAAUCGAGGGUUAAUGAAAUACAAGAGGACUGGAAGCCUUCUUUCCUCUCAAAUGAAGAGUUCACACAUCUCUUUUUAGAAGCUUUAGAUGGAUUUAUAAUAGUUUUCACCUCGUCUGGGAGGAUUCUGUAUGCUUCUGAAAGCAUAACAUCUCUUCUUGGACACUUUCCUAAUGAUUUACUUGCAAUGACUUUGUAUGAUAUCGUAUAUCAAGGGGACCACUCAGAACUGUACAAUAUAUUCUUAAAUCCUUCUGAUUAUGAAAAUAACAAAGAAGAUGAAUUAUGUUUUACAUGCCAUUGUCGUCGUGGUGGUACUGAUAUUAAGGAAGAACCGUUGUAUGAGGUAGUCCAGUUUCUUGGUAAUUUCAGGAGUGACAUGGAUACUCUUUGUGAUAAUAGCCUAAAUGGACGUUAUACCACAGAAGGAGAUACAAGAUGGGUUUUUGUCGGCACUGGGAGAUUACAAACACCACAACUUAUAAGAGAGCUUUCCGUUAUCGACUCAACAAAAUGCGAAUUUACUUCACGCCACAGCUUGGAGUGGAAGUUUUUAUUUCUUGACCAUAGGGCCCCUCCAAUUAUUGGUUAUUUGCCGUUUGAAGUUCUGGGAACAUCUGGGUACGAUUAUUAUCACAUUGAUGAUUUAGAUAAGGUAGUUACGUGCCAUGAAGCUUUAAUGCAAAAGGGAGAAGGGACCUCGUGUUACUACAGAUUUCUUACCAAAGGGCAACAGUGGAUUUGGCUGCAGACAAGGUUUUAUAUAACAUACCAUCAAUGGAACUCAAAGCCAGAAUUCAUUGUAUGCACACACCGGGUCGUUAGCUUUCACAAUGUAUUAAAACAAGGUAACGGAGCGUAUGAAACUAUUGAAGGAUUGGAAAAGGACAAGUCAUACGAGCGGAAUCAAUACUCCACUAUUUCUAAAUCCACAGUAAAAUCAAAAUAUGGGACGAUGUCUUCAAUUCUGAGCAGUGGAGUCUUUUAUGUGCCAAGCUUUAAGCAGUUAUAUCAUCAUCAUCAUCAUCUUCAUCAACAACAACAUGGCUAUACAAAUUUUGUAAACAGGAAAAGCAAAUGGGAUCAGACACAAAUUCAAUGUCAACAGAUUCCCCUCUAUCAAGGCACUCGCAACUCACUUCUCUUAGUGCUCAAUCGAGGCCGGGAAAAGUCGGCAGCACCGUCAAGAGUGAAAACAAAAGCUCAACAAGCGAAAGGACAGGCUAUACGACCCAGUCUUUUACAGUUGUCGGCAUUCCGACUCAAUCCGUCAUCACAACCAUUCCCCCACAGAGGGUCGACCAGCUGGAGAGAAGGCAGGAAGAGCUUCAACAAAGAAUAGUCGAACAGCAAACGGAGCUGCGGCAAGUGACUGAGCAGCUUUUUAUGGCCAAGUAUGGCCUUUUCCCACCAGUUUUGAAUGUUUCCCUUCCUUACACAGUUACCCAGGCUGUAAAUAUCUCAAGCCCAGACCUUUACGCAACUCACUCAUCAAGGGCUGUUCCUCCAGUAAUUAUUGACCCCCUUCAACAAGUUCACUCGUCAGACGGUUACACACUCUCACAACACCAGGCUGAGAUUAUGUUUAACCCUGCCAUCGACUCGCCUAACUCUACACCCACCAGUCAUUAAGUAAGUA